AUUGAACGCUGGCGGCAGGCCUAACACAUGCAAGUCGAACGCGUGGCGGACGGGUGAGUAACGUCUGGGAAACUGCCUGAUCGAGGGGGCUAAAUACUGGAAACGGUAGCUAAUACCGCAUACCAUCAGAUGUGCCCAGAUGGGAUUAGCUAGUUGGUGGGGUAACGGCUCACCAAGGCCACGAUCCCUUGCUGGUCUGAGAGGAUGACCAGCCACACUGGAACGGAGACACGGUCCAGACUCCUACGGGAGGCAGCAGUGGGGAAUAUUGCACAAGGGGCGCAAGCCUGAUACAGACAUGCCGCGUGUAUGAAGAAGGGCUUCGGGUUGUAAAGUUCUUUCAGCGGGGAGGCGUUACCCGCAGAAGAAGCACCGGCUAACUCCGUGCCAGCAGCCGCGGUAAUUC
Molecule: ribosomal RNA, 406 nt
Filed under: uncultured bacterium
Lineage: Bacteria
Description: partial 16S ribosomal RNA
Rfam family: Bacterial small subunit ribosomal RNA
Source: RNAcentral